CCUACGGGAGGCUGCAGUGGGGAAUAUUGGACAAUGGGGGAAACCCUGAUCCAGCCAUGCCGCGUGAGUGAUGAAGGCCUUAGGGUUGUAAAGCUCUUUUAGCAGGGAAGAUGAUGACGGUACCUGCAGAAUAAGCACCGGCUAACUUCGUGCCAGCAGCCGCGGUAAUACGAAGGGUGCUAGCGUUGUUCGGAAUCACUGGGCGUAAAGCGUGCGUAGGCGGCUAUGCAAGUCAGAGGUGAAAUGCCGGGGCUUAACCCCGGAACUGCCUUUGA
RNAcentral lists this ribosomal RNA (275 nucleotides) under uncultured bacterium. RNAcentral describes it as "partial 16S ribosomal RNA". It matches the Rfam family "Bacterial small subunit ribosomal RNA", at positions 338 to 630 of the family's 1533-position model. The record is from RNAcentral.